AGAGUUUGAUCAUGGCUCAGAAUCAACGCUGGCGGCGUGCCUAACACAUGCAAGUCGCACGAGAAAGUGGAGCAAUCCAUGAGUAUAGUGGCGCACGGGUGAGUAACACGUGAAUUAUCUACCUCCGAGUGGGGGAAUAACUGAGAGAAAUCUUAGCUAAUACCGCAUAACACUUACGAGUCAAAGCAGCAAUGCGCUUGGAGAGGAGUUCGCGGCCGAUUAGUUAGUUGGCGGGGUAAUGGCCCACCAAGACGAUGAUCGGUAUCCGGCCUGAGAGGGCGCACGGACACACUGGAACUGAAACACGGUCCAGACUCCUACGGGAGGCAGCAGUGGGGAAUUUUGCGCAAUGGGGGAAACCCUGACGCAGCAACGCCGCGUGGAGGAUGAAAUAUCUUGGUAUGUAAACUCCUUUCGAUGGGGAAGAUUAUGACGGUACCCAUAGAAGAAGCCCCGGCUAACUUCGUGCCAGCAGCCGCGGUAAUACGAGGGGGGCAAGCGUUGUUCGGAUUUAUUGGGCGUAAAGGGUGCGUAGGCGGUUUGGCAAGUCUGAUGUGAAAUCUAUGGGCUCAACCCAUAGUCUGCAUCAGAAACUGCCGGGCUUGAGUAUGGGAGAGGUGAGUGGAAUUUCCGGUGUAGCGGUGAAAUGCGUAGAUAUCGGAAGGAACACCUGUGGCGAAAGCGGCUCACUGGACCAUAACUGACGCUGAUGCACGAAAGCUAGGGGAGCAAACAGGAUUAGAUACCCUAGUAGUCC
RNAcentral lists this ribosomal RNA (757 nucleotides) under uncultured bacterium. RNAcentral describes it as "bacterial SSU rRNA". It matches the Rfam family "Bacterial small subunit ribosomal RNA", at positions 8 to 796 of the family's 1533-position model. The record is from RNAcentral.